AUUGAACGCUGGCGGCAUGCCUUACACAUGCAAGUCGAACGGCAGCACGGGUGCUUGCACCUGGUGGCGAGUGGCGAACGGGUGAGUAAUAUAUCGGAACGUACCUUAUUGUGGGGGAUAACGCAGCGAAAGCUGUGCUAAUACCGCAUAAUCCCUAAGGGGGAAAGCGGGGGACCGUAAAGCCUCGCGCGAUUAGAGCGGCCGAUGUCUGAUUAGCUUGUUGGUGAGGUAAAAGCUCACCAAGGCGAUGAUCAGUAGCUGGUCUGAGAGGACGAUCAGCCACACUGGGACUGAGACACGGCCCAGACUCCUACGGGAGGCAGCAGUGGGGAAUUUUGGACAAUGGGGGCAACCCUGAUCCAGCAAUGCCGCGUGAGUGAAGAAGGCCUUCGGGUUGUAAAGCUCUUUUGUCAGGGAAGAAACAGCAGCUCUAACACAGUCUGCGAAUGACGGUACCUGAAGAAUAAGCACCGGCUAACUACGUGCCAGCAGCCGCCGUAA
RNAcentral lists this ribosomal RNA (501 nucleotides) under uncultured bacterium. Its description in RNAcentral is "partial 16S ribosomal RNA". It matches the Rfam family "Bacterial small subunit ribosomal RNA", at positions 30 to 523 of the family's 1533-position model. The record is from RNAcentral.